Non-coding RNA from Ameiurus melas (black bullhead), 72 nucleotides. The record is from the annotation of a GenBank genome assembly. NCBI's taxonomy places the organism in Eukaryota, Metazoa, Chordata, Actinopteri, Siluriformes, Ictaluridae.
GAAGUGGUAGUUCAGCAGUUAAGACCUUGGACUUAUGAUCGGAAGGUCGUGAGUUCAAAUCCCAGCACUGCC